AAAUCUAUUUUUAGAACACAUCCUUCAUACAAGGCAAGAGAGAAAUACGCAUAAAAAGGUAAUUCAACCAGUAACAACAUGAGUUGUUAAGCUCUAUGCCGACAUGAAUUAAAUCAGAAAGUUCAACCACAAAGCUGCAGGGCCACAGUUCCAAGCAUUUCCAGCAUGAGCACAAAGAGAAUCAUAUACAGGCAUGAUUUUUCACUUUACACGCUUCCUAGUCUCAGUCCUUGGAUCAAUACAUUAUAAUUGCUAACCUAACAUAAAAUCAAAAACUUAAACUCGGGAUUCAUAUUUAAUCAAAGUUAUAUGAUCAUAUUUUCAGACGAAAUAUCAGCUUCAUUUCCAU
Molecule: unclassified non-coding RNA, 349 nt
Filed under: Hevea brasiliensis (rubber tree)
Lineage: Eukaryota; Viridiplantae; Streptophyta; Magnoliopsida; Malpighiales; Euphorbiaceae
Source: RNAcentral